Ornithodoros turicata is the source of this 3194-nucleotide long non-coding RNA. RefSeq lists it as uncharacterized. NCBI's taxonomy places the organism in Eukaryota, Metazoa, Arthropoda, Arachnida, Ixodida, Argasidae. The record is from RefSeq and is a predicted model, not a curated record. The transcript has 3 exons.
ACAUUUCUUCGUCAGCCGAUGUCGUUAAGCUGUCGGUGUCGUUACGGCCGUGCACGUGCUGUUAGCUGUACGCCUGGGGCGCGAGCGUGUCAGCGUCAUUUCCGUCACUUCACUUCUUCAGUUUUUCUGCUAUUCUUUGAAAGGCAGCAAACAUGCCGUCGUCGCGUGGUUCUCGCAGUGCUCGAACAACUGCCCAGCAAUACGAGAUUAUGGCCCGAUGCAUGCAAACCAACGGUAAUUUAUUCCGAGGGGCAUUUUCGUCCACAUAUACUUAUCAAGAUCGGGACAGAGACUGGGAAGACUUAGCGGCCAGGCUGAAUGCAGUUGGAGGUGCCGUGAAAACUGUGCCGAAGUGGCGGAAGGCAUGGCAGGACUGAAGGUCCUACGUAAAAGCUAAAGGUGCACGGAUCCGCGCUUGGCAGAACAGAACUGGGGGCGGUCCGCCCUGCACUGAGAGGUUAACCGAUGCAGAAGAAAUUCUUGUUAGCCUCAUGGGAGACGUGUGCAUUGUGGGUGUCGCUACCACCCCAGAGGCUGGAAUUUCCCUGAUGGCCAAUGCUCUAUCUGAAGGUCAGCCACCCGCUGCUGACCACUUGGAGACAAACUGCGACGACGCAGUAAACGAGGGGUAGAAUGCAAUCGAGCAGUCUCACAAGCAACACAGAUAGCUUCUCAGGUGGAAGACACUGAUACAGCAACAGCUGCCGACGAUGCUGCUGAUAUGAAUGCGUCGCAAGAUGGUGAACCACAGAUGUCACCGGACGUGACUCAAGAACCCAGACACAGGAGGCGGAGCAGAAUAAGUACAGGUCGAAUUUUCUUGUCUCUGUCUUGACAUUGUGAAGUAUAUUUACAGGGGCCAUUAGACAGCAGUACCAGAAUGAAGUCGGCCAGGGCUUCCUAUCCCUUCAGACCAAACAACAAGAGCAGCUGGGCCGUAUAUACGACUCGUUGACAGAACUUGUAAACGCGGUCAAUAGGGUCGCCGCCGCAGAGGAGCAACAAACUAUUGCUCUUCAAGAAAUUAUUGAACUCCUUACUGUAAGCACACAUUUAUUUUUGUACGCACUUUGGGUGCAAAGCAUACAAAACCUUUAGACAUCAUAAAGCAAUAUCACACUGCGUAUAAUUGACUUCGAAUUCGGUCCCUGACCCUUGCCCCUCCAGCUCGAGUUUCUUCCCGAUCGGCUUGGCUGUGUGUGUCAAACAUUUCAGAGUCUAUCUCUGGGGGAUCCUCCAGCUCAACGCCCUCUCUCAAACAAAUGUUGUGUAGAAUUGCACAGGAAUUUAUAAUUAUCCCAGCUACACUUGGUGAAUAGUGCAGUGCUCUAUGUCUAUGUAGGCACCGGAAGCGGCUCCUCAAAAGUCCGUUGCACUGCUCGAUGACUGCCCGUGCCUUCUGAUGUCGAACAUUAAAAGUUGCUUUCGAUGAAUCAGAUGCUGCCUCCGAUUCAGCAUAGGGCACCAUGAGCCACGGCUCCAGGGGUAUCAGCUAUCGCCUGCGAGAAAGGAAUAUGGUGUGGUGACAGACGUACGAAACAGCCCUUACCAGUGAGCCAUGAGUUCGUUCUUGGCAUCCUGUUGCAGGACAGUGCAUCGCGCAGUGCGGAAUUCUUCCAUAUGAAUGCAUCAUGAGUGCUCCCUGGGUACUUCGCAUUCACAUUUAGUAUCUCCGUUUCCGAGGAUCGCUUCAGAAGCAGUACGGGUGGCCAUUGUGCUGUUGUAAAGGGUUGACUAUCCCUUUCAGGGCUACAAUGCCAGGUAUUGCUUGUUGCAGCUACGUAUUUUUAACGUAUUUUUAGCGUAACGUAUUUUUAAAACGCUACCGGUGGCCUAUUGAGGGGAGAAAAAGAGAAGUACCCCGGAACAUUGUUUUUGCUGAUUGUCAUAGUUGAUUAUGUAAAGCCCAGUCAUUAAUGGUCAUUGCUGUUCUGUGCUAUAAAGUCCUCAUUACCAGUGCCACUGAUUCUGAUCACUUUCCGCGAAUCAUAAAAUGUAAAAUAAAAUCAUAAAAUGUACCGUAUUUUCACGCGUAUUAACCGCACCGCAGAUAAGCUGCAGUACUCGUUUUUAGAUACAUUUUGAAAAUGUUUUUGCAGAUAAGCCGCACUCGCAGAUAAGCCGCGGGUAUUACGACGCGACUGCUUUGUGCGCUAAACCAGUGAUGCACAUACAAAAUCAACAGAGACGCUCAACGCUCGUCGGCGCCGUACUCCCUGCCAGCUGCCUGUUUCCGUACUGGUCCGCGAAGUCGACGACUCUUAGUUUGAAGCCGCUGUUGUAGCUGUGCGCCCGCGUUGGAGCCAUGCCUCACCUCUAACUGCCGUGCCCGUGUCCACGAAUGCUGCUGCUCUCGUCAAAUGAGAACUGACGCUUAGCUGACCACGUUUUAUCCCGAUGUCAAGUGUAUUGAACCCUUCCUGUGGGUCUGCCGACAGAGGAGACCGUAGGGAAGGCCAUAAACCCAGUCCACAUUCCGGUGUCGGCAUGUUGUAUAACAAAGGAGGUCAGUUCUAGUGCUCUACUAAGGUCGGAUUGUGCCCUUGUUGUGUGUUUUUCGUGGAUUGACGGGUUAGUGAUGUUCCAGGAGACAUGAAUCACUGUCACCCCUUUUGCUAAAGCUGCAUGGGAGAAUGUAUUCGGAAGGUCAGCCCACUCGAAUGUGGUGUGGACCCGCUCCUGUUCGGUAUUGUUCGUGCACUGGCAGGGCGGUCCUGUUCCGAAAAACAUGAGGCACUCUCGGCUCUUUCGUUUAAUCCGGGGUAUGAGGAAAGUACCAGGGAAAAAUAGUCACCAGAUAAGUCGCACCCGCGGAUAAGCCGCAGAGCGUCCGCGAAAAAAAAAUCGCGCAUAAGCCGCGGCUAAUACGCGUGAAAAUACGGUAGUUAAUUAAAGCCUCCAUGGUGUGGGAACCACCCUGCAAUGGCAACAUUGUACAGUUCUGCUCUACUUAAAAUAGUAGAUCUGCAAUAAAUGAUGAUUGGGUGCAUUGCUGUAGUACAGGUGGAGUGUUGAUUUUUUCAGACACUCAAACGUGCUCAAAACACGUAUACUAAAACGUGAUAACGGCGAUAACUGCCGAAAUGAAGAGUUUUUAAAUAACAAAGCCACGUACCAAAUCGUUAAAUUUGUGGUUAGUAUUUGGGCGUCGCUAUGUGAAAGCCACUGCUCGCUGCAAGUUCUCCUGCGUCCGC